RNAcentral lists this ribosomal RNA (253 nucleotides) under uncultured bacterium. RNAcentral describes it as "partial 16S ribosomal RNA". It matches the Rfam family "Bacterial small subunit ribosomal RNA", at positions 524 to 776 of the family's 1533-position model. The record is from RNAcentral.
UACGGAGGGUGCAAGCGUUAUCCGGAAUCAUUGGGUUUAAAGGGUUCGCAGGCGGAUUUAUAAGUCAGUGGUGAAAGCCUGAUGCUUAACAUCAGAACUGCCAUUGAUACUGUAAUUCUUGAAUUCGAUCGAAGUGGGCGGAAUAUGACAUGUAGCGGUGAAAUGCUUAGAUAUGUCAUAGAACACCGAUAGCGAAGGCAGCUCACUAGGUCUGGAUUGACGCUCAGGGACGAAAGCGUGGGGAGCAAACAGG